AGCAGCCGUGGUAAUCCCAGCUCCAAUAGCGUAUAUUAAAGUUGUUGCAGUUAAAAAGCUCGUAGUUGAAUUUCGGGGUUAGUAGGUUGGUCAUGCCUCUGGUUUGUACUGGUCUCACUGAUUCCUCCUUCCUGAUGAGCCGUAAUGCCAUUAAUUUGGUGUUGCAGGGAAUUUGGACUGUUACUUUGAAAAAAUUUAGAGUGUUUAAAGCAAGCUAACGCUUGAAUACAUUAGCAUGGAAUAAUGAAAUAGGACGUUCGAUCCUAUUUUGUUGGUUUCUAGGAUUGACGUAAUGAUUAAUAGGGAUAGUUGGGGGGCAUUAGUAUUCAAUUGUCAGAGGUGAAAUUCUUGGAUUUAUUGAAGACUAACUACUGCGAAAGCAUUUGCCAAGGAUGUUUUCAUUAAUCAAGAACGAAAGUUAGGGGAUCGAAGACGAUCAGAUACCGUCGUAGUCUUAACCAUAAACUAUGCCGACUAGGGAUCGGAUGAUGUUAAUUUUUUCAAUGACUCAUUCGGCGCC
Molecule: ribosomal RNA, 520 nt
Filed under: uncultured Glomus
Lineage: Eukaryota; Fungi; Glomeromycota; Glomeromycetes; Glomerales; Glomeraceae
Description: SSU rRNA
Rfam family: Eukaryotic small subunit ribosomal RNA
Source: RNAcentral